CUGGCAGUCAGAGGCGAUGAAGGACGUGCUAAUCUGCGAUAAGCGCCGGUAAGGUGAUAUGAACCGUUAUAACCGGCGAUUUCCGAAUGGGGAAACCCAGUGUGACUCGUCACACUAUCAUUAACUGAAUCCAUAGGUUAAUGAGGCGAACCGGGGGAACUGAAACAUCUAAGUACCCCGAGGAAAAGAAAUCAACCGAGAUUCCCCCAGUAGCGGCGAGCGAACGGGGAGGAGCCCAGAGCCUGAAUCAGCAUGUGUGUUAGUGGAAGCGUCUGGAAAGGCGCGCGAUACAGGGUGACAGCCCCGUACACAAAAGCGCAUGUGCUGUGAGCUCGAUGAGUAGGGCGGGACACGUGGUAUCCUGUCUGAAUAUGGGGGGACCAUCCUCCAAGGCUAAAUACUCCUGACUGACCGAUAGUGAACCAGUACCGUGAGGGAAAGGCGAAAAGAACCCCGGCGAGGGGAGUGAAAAAGAACCUGAAACCGUGUACGUACAAGCAGUGGGAGCACAGGUUUACCUGUGUGACUGCGUACCUUUUGUAUAAUGGGUCAGCGACUUAUAUUCUGUAGCAAGGUUAACCGUAUAGGGGAGCCGUAGGGAAACCGAGUCUUAACCGGGCGUUAAGUUGCAGGGUAUAGACCCGAAACCCGGUGAUCUAGCCAUGGGCAGGUUGAAGGUUGGGUAACACUAACUGGAGGACCGAACCGACUAAUGUUGAAAAAUUAGCGGAUGACCUGUGGCUGGGGGUGAAAGGCCAAUCAAACCGGGAGAUAGCUGGUUCUCCCCGAAAGCUAUUUAGGUAGCGCCUCGUGAAUUCAUCUCCGGGGGUAGAGCACUGUUUCGGCUAGGGGGCCAUCCCGGCUUACCAACCCGAUGCAAACUGCGAAUACCGGAGAAUGUUAUCACGGGAGACACACGGCGGGUGCUAACGUCCGUCGUGAAGAGGGAAACAACCCAGACCGCCAGCUAAGGUCCCAAAGUCAUGGUUAAGUGGGAAACGAUGUGGGAAGGCCCAGACAGCCAGGAUGUUGGCUUAGAAGCAGCCAUCAUUUAAAGAAAGCGUAAUAGCUCACUGGUCGAGUCGGCCUGCGCGGAAGAUGUAACGGGGCUAAACCAU
This 1118-nucleotide ribosomal RNA is filed under the name Salmonella enterica. RNAcentral's name for it is "partial 23S ribosomal RNA". It matches the Rfam family "Bacterial large subunit ribosomal RNA", at positions 33 to 1190 of the family's 2925-position model. Lineage: Bacteria; Pseudomonadati; Pseudomonadota; Gammaproteobacteria; Enterobacterales; Enterobacteriaceae. The record is from RNAcentral.